RNAcentral lists this long non-coding RNA (416 nucleotides) under Pan troglodytes (chimpanzee). Its description in RNAcentral is "long non-coding RNA NONPTRT015273". The record is from RNAcentral. Lineage: Eukaryota; Metazoa; Chordata; Mammalia; Primates; Hominidae.
CAGUGCUAUUUGUUGCCUUGUCCUUGUCUACUUUGUAAUUGCAGCCUGCUCAACUUUCGAUCUCCUUGAUAGCCUGUGUUGUUCAUCUUUCAAAUUACCUUGGGAUUCCCUUGACAUUUUGCAUUAGAGUAUGAUUCUGUCUGGAGUAGAGGUCAAGAACUGGUUCCCCCAGUUCGGGAAACUGUUCCACAGACUGCCUCACAGCUUUGCCACAGAACCUUCUGCUCACCACUUGUGUUUGGCAGAUCAUCUUUACAACAUGGCCAGAAGUAGGCACUGAUCGUUGAGAAGAAAAUGAGAUUUUAGGGAAGUGAAAUAACCCAGGUUUCUGUGUCUUUAAAACAGAUAUUGUCAAACUGCAGUCUGCAGGCCAGAUCUGGCUGCCUUCCUGUUUUUGUAAAUGAGGCUUUAUUGUA